RNAcentral lists this ribosomal RNA (253 nucleotides) under uncultured bacterium. RNAcentral describes it as "partial 16S ribosomal RNA". It matches the Rfam family "Bacterial small subunit ribosomal RNA", at positions 524 to 776 of the family's 1533-position model. The record is from RNAcentral.
UACGUAGGGGGCAAGCGUUAUCCGGAUUUACUGGGUGUAAAGGGGGCGCAGACGGCGAUGCAAGCCAGGAGUGAAAGCCCGGGGCCCAACCCCGGGACUGCUCUUGGAACUGCGUGGCUGGAGUGCAGGAGGGGCAGGCGGAGUUCCUGGUGUAGCGGUGAAAUGCGUAGAUAUCAGGAGGAACCCCGGUGGCGAAGGCGGCCUGCUGGACUGCAACUGACGUUGAGGCCCGAAAGCGUGGGGAGCAAACAGG